This 718-nucleotide long non-coding RNA is filed under the name Homo sapiens (human). RNAcentral describes it as "HSALNT0362150". Lineage: Eukaryota; Metazoa; Chordata; Mammalia; Primates; Hominidae. The record is from RNAcentral.
CAAACAUUCUCUUGCCUGCUGCCACAUAAGAUGUCUCUUUGCUCUUCCUUCAUCUUCCACCAUGAUUGUGAAGCCUCCCCAGCCGUGUGGAACUGUGACUCCAUUGAACUUCUUUCCUUUAUAAUUACCCAGUCUCAGACUCUUCCUUCUGCAGCAAGUAGAAGGCAUGACUGAAGCAACUCAAGUCUACAUCAUCCCAGCUUCGCAAUCUCCCAAGAGAACAAGAGCCCCAGUUGGCCAACAUCUGAACAUAAAUUCUCAUCAGUCCACCUUCAUAAGCAGACGGGGAGGGUCUCCAGGGAUAACAGGAAUUUAACCAACUUCAGCAAUGAGCCUGGUUUACAGCCUCCUGCCCUGCAGCCUGUUCUUCCACAAACCCUGGGUAAAAUGCAGUCACCUUGUUGGUUUAAACCAGCUCUUGACAGACCCCCGGCAACAUACAGAUGAACGCAAGUGAACUUUCUCAUGACCACGCUAAAGUCUCCACCCUGGGCAACCUGUAGCUUCAUUACCAUGACAUGCAACCUAUGCGCUGACGUAAUGACUCACUGCAUCUGUGCAACUAGACCUCUCCUCGUCAUGCAAUGAUGCUCCCUGUCUCCUCUCCAUUGCGCCAUAAAACCCUCCUGUCACUUUCCCUCGGAAAGACACUGCUUUGGAGAAUACCCCCAGUGUCACCCUUACUUGAGUUAAAUAAAACUCCUAUUGAUCAAAGACA